Molecule: non-coding RNA, 80 nt
Organism: Debaryomyces hansenii
Lineage: Eukaryota; Fungi; Ascomycota; Pichiomycetes; Serinales; Debaryomycetaceae
Source: Rfam
AUGACUAUGGCGAAAUUGGUAGACGCGAUUAGUUUAGGUCUAAUUAUUUAAAUAUAAGGGUUCAAGUCCCUUUAGUCAUA